CUUGAUAAUAUAUAAGAGGUCCAGCCUGCCCAGUGACUCUGUUCAACGGCCGCGGUAUCCUAACCGUGCGAAGGUAGCGUAAUCACUUGUUCUUUAAAUGAGGACUAGUAUGAAUGGCAUUACGAGGGUUAUACUGUCUCCUUUUCCUAAUCAGUGAAACUAAUCUCCCCGUGAAGAAGCGAGGAUGAACAUAUAAGACGAGAAGACCCUAUGGAGCUUUAAACUUCCAGCAAUUAUCUUUUUUAUACCAACCUUAAGGUAAUCAAAUUAACUUUAAUACCAUGUCUGUUAGUUUUCGGUUGGGGUGACCGCGGAGUAAAACUCACCCUCCGCAAUGGAUACUGCAUUUAAGCAACAAACUACAAUUUUAUGCAUCAAAAAAUUGACACUAUUGACCCAACAUUUUGAUCAACGAAC
This 417-nucleotide ribosomal RNA is filed under the name Pithecopus hypochondrialis group sp. ABGD cluster 12. RNAcentral's name for it is "partial large subunit ribosomal RNA". It matches the Rfam family "Bacterial large subunit ribosomal RNA", at positions 1834 to 2439 of the family's 2925-position model. Lineage: Eukaryota; Metazoa; Chordata; Amphibia; Anura; Hylidae. The record is from RNAcentral.